This 434-nucleotide ribosomal RNA is filed under the name uncultured bacterium. RNAcentral describes it as "partial 16S ribosomal RNA". It matches the Rfam family "Bacterial small subunit ribosomal RNA", at positions 29 to 507 of the family's 1533-position model. The record is from RNAcentral.
AGCGAACGCUGGCGGCAGGCCUAACACAUGCAAGUCGAACGAACCUUUCGGGGUUAGUGGCGGACGGGUGAGUAACACGUGGGAACGUGCCUUUAGGUUCGGAAUAACUCAGGGAAACUUGUGCUAAUACCGAAUGUGCCCUUCGGGGGAAAGAUUAAUCGCCUUUAGAGCGGCCCGCGUCUGAUUAGCGAGUUGGUUGAGGUAAUGGCUCACCCAGGCGACGAUCAGUAGCUGGUCUGAGAGGAUGAUCAGCCACAUUGGGACUGAGACACGGCCCAAACUCCUACGGGAGGCAGCAGUGGGGAAUCUUGCGCAAUGGGCGAAAGCCUGACGCAGCCAUGCCGCGUGAAUGAUGAAGGUCUUAGGAUUGUAAAAUUCUUUCACCGGGGACGAUAAUGACGGUACCCGGAGAAGAAGCCCCGGCUAACUUCGUG